RNAcentral lists this ribosomal RNA (279 nucleotides) under uncultured bacterium. Its description in RNAcentral is "partial 16S ribosomal RNA". It matches the Rfam family "Bacterial small subunit ribosomal RNA", at positions 506 to 784 of the family's 1533-position model. The record is from RNAcentral.
UGCCAGCAGCCGCGGUAAUACGAAGGUCCCAAGCGUUGUUCGGAAUCACUGGGCGUAAAGCGUGUGUAGGCGGCGUGGUAAGUCAGAUGUGAAAUCUCCGGGCUCAACCCGGAAACUGCAUCCGAUACUGCCACGCUAGAGUGUCGGAGGGGAGGCUGGAAUUCACGGUGUAGCAGUGAAAUGCGUAGAUAUCGUGAGGAACACUAGUGGCGAAGGCGAGUCUCUGGACGAUUACUGACGCUCAGACACGAAGGCUAGGGUAGCGAAAGGGAUUAGAUA